This 180-nucleotide ribosomal RNA is filed under the name uncultured bacterium. Its description in RNAcentral is "partial 16S ribosomal RNA". It matches the Rfam family "Bacterial small subunit ribosomal RNA", at positions 1322 to 1500 of the family's 1533-position model. The record is from RNAcentral.
GAAGCCGGAAUUGCUAGUAAUGGCAGGUCAGCAUACUGCCGUGAAUACGUUCCCGGGCCUUGUACACACCGCCCGUCACACCAUGAGAGUUGGGAAUACCCGAAGCCUGUGAGCCAACUUUUAAAGAGGCAGCAGUCGAAGGUAGAAUCAAUGAUUGGGGUGAAGUCGUAACAAGGUAUC